Molecule: small RNA, 1114 nt
Filed under: Cryptococcus neoformans H99
Lineage: Eukaryota; Fungi; Basidiomycota; Tremellomycetes; Tremellales; Cryptococcaceae
Description: Cryptococcus neoformans var. grubii H99 hypothetical RNA
Source: RNAcentral
CCACAAUCAGCUAGGUUAACCAAGGUUAAUCUCCAUAUUGAUCGUAUAGGACACGAUACACUAUUAUUCGGGGCCAUAUUGGUGGUCGUUUUCAGGAUACAAUACGUACAUCGAAGCGGCCAAUGGUACAAUGUAGUGGCAGAAGGUCUGAGCUCAUGGUUGUGUGCGUGGAAGGAGGCUGGUGCGUGGGAAGGUUACGUGGCGUGUAGUUUGUGUUUUCAUUCCUUUUGAUACUUGAUCUCUUCUCCAUUCAAAGACCUUUGGAUUCAUAUCCAAGGUCACGAAUCAUCCAGGCCCAGACACUAGAGGCCCAUUAGACAUACACCAGCACGCCCAAGCAUCCGCCUUCCCCCCCCACUCAUCAGUAACCUGACAUCUCACAACACCCCUACAUAUCGACUGGCCUGACCUACACCUGUCAGCCCAAAGCUGAGCUGUGAGAUGAAGAAGUCGAGUCGCCAAUACCUCGCGAACAAAAUUGAGUUACCGGCGUUCGAUGAUCCCCUUUUCCCGCUUUUCGGGGCCAUGUACGUGUUAGGUAUUCAAUCAGCUUGUGUCAUUAUUGUGACUAGAGGGGAAAAAAUGUGGCCUGUCCUUCUGAUCAGCGACAUCUGUUUUCUCGCCGUGUUCAUGGCCUUGGCAGGAGUUGGGUUGGGCCAUCGUGGCUUCAGUUUGGCGAUCGGGAAUGGCUCAGUUGUUUGAAGAUGGACGUGGCAAACGCAUGCUUGGUUGCCUAUGCCUGAUGAUGAUCGCCAGUCGAAAAUAUCAACUAGGUUAUCGAAUAUUUGCUUGCCCUGUGUGGGCCCUUUCCGCCUCGCUUUUCGCCCGAUUUAGAAUCCUCCCAAACCGCCCUCCUUCCUCCCAGUCCUCUUUCCCUUCCUUCGCCGAAAGGGAAGAUUGGUACGGUGUCUUUUUCUGCUUGAUAGUGUGUCUGGUGGGCCUCGAAUGUCUGGGGCUGGAUGAUUCGUGACCAUGUAUAUGUAUGGAAAGGGCUUUGAAGUAAUGAGAGAUAGAUAGAAAUAAUAAGAAUGCUCAAGGGUGAGAUCUAGUACACAGGGCCUGACUAUCAUGUAAAUUUGGCCAUUCGCAAAUGAAUUCGCCUUUCGCGGACAGG